UACGGAGGAUUCGAGCGUUAUCCGGAUUUAUUGGGUUUAAAGGGAGCGUAGGCGGGUUGUUAAGUCAGUUGUGAAAGUUUGCGGCUCAACCGUAAAAUUGCAAUUGAUACUGGCAUCCUUGAGUACAGUAGAGGUAGGCGGAAUUCGUGGUGUAGCGGUGAAAUGCUUAGAUAUCACGAAGAACUCCGAUUGCGAAGGCAGCCUGCUGGACUGUAACUGACGCUGAUGCUCGAAAGUGUGGGUAUCAAACAGG
This 253-nucleotide ribosomal RNA is filed under the name uncultured bacterium. RNAcentral's name for it is "partial 16S ribosomal RNA". It matches the Rfam family "Bacterial small subunit ribosomal RNA", at positions 524 to 776 of the family's 1533-position model. The record is from RNAcentral.